UCCGCGUGACUUAAACUGUACAAAAAUGCAUGUGUUUUUUAAUGGCCCGUCCACACUUUAAAGUUACCUUAUGGAGCGGAUAUGAGUAAGUUUUUGUCUAUUAUCGCUUAGCACACAAACAAGAAACACCGUCCAUUUUUCGCCUACCUUAGAGAGCUAUACCAUUGCUCUAGAAACAUUGAUACAAGUGGCAAGUUUUACAUUACCUUCCUAAGAGACCGGUGACCGAGAGACCUUUAUGGUUAACUCUUCCGAGAAAAUUUUAAUAAACACACUGAGCUAAAUUAUGGAAGAUAGUAUAUUUGACAAUCAACCCAAUGUUCUACAUGGGUUUGGCAGGAAUGUCUUAAUGAACGAAGAGUUGCUUGGUAUUCAAGAUAAUAGUACAGUCGGGGAAGAAGAAAUGCAAUAUGUUAAUGAUUUGCUGCAGUUUAGUUACAAAGAACACGACAACAAUCCUAAAAGUUUACUUGAAUCAAUUUAUUGUUCAGCGUUAGGUGAAAA
This is a long non-coding RNA of Xenia sp. Carnegie-2017, 504 nucleotides long. RefSeq lists it as uncharacterized. The transcript has 2 exons. NCBI's taxonomy places the organism in Eukaryota, Metazoa, Cnidaria, Anthozoa, Malacalcyonacea, Xeniidae. The record is from RefSeq and is a predicted model, not a curated record.